Molecule: ribosomal RNA, 1547 nt
Filed under: Salmonella enterica
Lineage: Bacteria; Pseudomonadati; Pseudomonadota; Gammaproteobacteria; Enterobacterales; Enterobacteriaceae
Description: partial 23S ribosomal RNA
Rfam family: Bacterial large subunit ribosomal RNA
Source: RNAcentral
AGACCCGAAACCCGGUGAUCUAGCCAUGGGCAGGUUGAAGGUUGGGUAACACUAACUGGAGGACCGAACCGACUAAUGUUGAAAAAUUAGCGGAUGACCUGUGGCUGGGGGUGAAAGGCCAAUCAAACCGGGAGAUAGCUGGUUCUCCCCGAAAGCUAUUUAGGUAGCGCCUCGUGAACUCAUCUCCGGGGGUAGAGCACUGUUUCGGCUAGGGGGCCAUCCCGGCUUACCAACCCGAUGCAAACUGCGAAUACCGGAGAAUGUUAUCACGGGAGACACACGGCGGGUGCUAACGUCCGUCGUGAAGAGGGAAACAACCCAGACCGCCAGCUAAGGUCCCAAAGUCAUGGUUAAGUGGGAAACGAUGUGGGAAGGCCCAGACAGCCAGGAUGUUGGCUUAGAAGCAGCCAUCAUUUAAAGAAAGCGUAAUAGCUCACUGGUCGAGUCGGCCUGCGCGGAAGAUGUAACGGGGCUAAACCAUGCACCGAAGCUGCGGCAGCGACACUUUAGUGUUGUUGGGUAGGGGAGCGUUCUGUAAGCCGUUGAAGGUGUGUCGUGAGGCAUGCUGGAGGUAUCAGAAGUGCGAAUGCUGACAUAAGUAACGAUAAAGCGGGUGAAAAGCCCGCUCGCCGGAAGACCAAGGGUUCCUGUCCAACGUUAAUCGGGGCAGGGUGAGUCGACCCCUAAGGCGAGGCCGAAAGGCGUAGUCGAUGGGAAACGGGUUAAUAUUCCCGUACUUGGUGUUACUGCGAAGGGGGGACGGAGAAGGCUAUGUUGGCCGGGCGACGGUAGUCCCGGUUUAAGCGUGUAGGCUGGUUUUCCAGGCAAAUCCGGAAAAUCAAGGCUGAGGCGUGAUGACGAGGCACCACGGUGCUGAAGCAACAAAUGCCCUGCUUCCAGGAAAAGCCUCUAAGCAUCAGGUAACAUCAAAUCGUACCCCAAACCGACACAGGUGGUCAGGUAGAGAAUACCAAGGCGCUUGAGAGAACUCGGGUGAAGGAACUAGGCAAAAUGGUGCCGUAACUUCGGGAGAAGGCACGCUGACACGUAGGUGAAGUGAUUUACUCAUGGAGCUGAAGUCAGUCGAAGAUACCAGCUGGCUGCAACUGUUUAUUAAAAACACAGCACUGUGCAAACACGAAAGUGGACGUAUACGGUGUGACGCCUGCCCGGUGCCGGAAGGUUAAUUGAUGGGGUCAGCGCAAGCGAAGCUCCUGAUCGAAGCCCCGGUAAACGGCGGCCGUAACUAUAACGGUCCUAAGGUAGCGAAAUUCCUUGUCGGGUAAGUUCCGACCUGCACGAAUGGCGUAAUGAUGGCCAGGCUGUCUCCACCCGAGACUCAGUGAAAUUGAACUCGCUGUGAAGAUGCAGUGUACCCGCGGCAAGACGGAAAGACCCCGUGAACCUUUACUAUAGCUUGACACUGAACAUUGAGCCUUGAUGUGUAGGAUAGGUGGGAGGCUUUGAAGCGUGGACGCCAGUCUGCGUGGAGCCGACCUUGAAAUACCACCCUUUAAUGUUUGAUGUUCUAACGUGGACCCGUAAUC